GUGGAAAAAAACUCACCUAGGUGAAGAAAUUCUCUCUCAAGCUCCAAAUGGGAGUUAGAGUUCUUCAAAUCCAACCUAAAUAAAGGUUCUAAACCCAUCAAUUAGGUUUCAAAGCCCUCAAAUCAAAAAUCCCCAAAAUAAGCCCUAAAUCCCAAAAUCUAUUGUUUCAUCUAGUAAAAUCUAGAAAAACUUAUAUUAAAUGGGAAAUACAAGCUACCAACCUCAAGAGAAGCUCCAAUCCAAGCUCUAAACCUAGUAGGGUUGGAGUUUGAUCCUCCACAAGGCUCCAACCGCAAGCUCCAAGCCACCAAAGGUGAGAAAUGAGGGGAAGAAGAUGAUGUUCCAAGGCCUCCAAGCAAGCUCCUCUCUUUCUCCUUCUUCUUCUCCUUCUCUUUCUCUCUCUAGAGUGAGUGUGAAGGGUAGAAAUGAGGGAAAGGGAGAAGAGAAAGGCUCUAAAAGCCUUCGAAUGUAACACAAUCCUGAUAAGUCCCUCAACAAUCCAAACAGCACACAGCCAGGGUCUGGGCAGUUUUCGCCCAGAGGGACCGGUCUCUCCCUGCAAGGGACUGGUCUCUCGGUUUGUCCCGCAAAACCAACAUUCGGGAACCGGUCUCUCACUGCCAGGGACCGGUUGCCUCAAGUCUGCCGCAACACUGUUCUGAGGGGACCGGUCUUUCCCACCAGGGACCGGUCCCAGAGAGUGAAAACUCUCAGGACUAAGCCAAAAUUCCAGAAAUCAAACUUUUAGGUCGGAAUACCAUCUACGACCUUCCACCAAGUGUGAAAAAGUUCGGAGUCCACAUCAAACACUCGAACCUCGCAAUUUGCACAGGUCCAGUGUGUUACAUUCACCCCUCCUAAAAAGGAGUUUCGUCCGCGAAACUCGAAAGCAAACAACAUACCUCAAAACUCUAUCUGAAAAAGAUGGGGAUAGCGCUCCUGCAGCGCACUCUCCAGCUCCCACGUGGCCUCCCGCUCCCCGUGGUUGCUCCAAAGAACCUUUACAUACAAAUGUCCCGAUUCCGUAGUUUCUUCACCUCGCGAGCCCAGAUCUUCACUGGUUACUUCUCGAAGCUCAAGUCGUCCCGCAACUCCACAGGUGUAACAUCCAACACAUGAAUCGGGUCGAAGACAUACUUCCGAAGGACUGAUACAUGAAAAACGUUGUGUACGCUUGAUAGGUUCGGUGGUAGAGCAAGUCGAUACGCUACCGGACCUACACGCUCCAAAACCUCAUACGGUCUAAUGAAACAGGGGCUCAACUUAUUCCAAAUUCCGAAUCUCUUGAUCCCUCUAGUCGGCGAGACCUUCAAGAAAACAUGGUCUCCAACUUGAAACUCUAAGUCUCGCCGUCGUCGGUCGGCGUAGCUCCUCUGUCUACUCUGUGCCGUCAAAAGUCGCUCCCGAGCAAUUCGAACUUUGUCCUCAGCUUCCUGGAGUACAUUAGGGCCUAAAGCCAAUCUCUCGCCAACUUUGCUCCAAUGAAGUGGCGAUCUACACUUCCGUCUAUAAAGUGCUUCGAAGGGCGCCAUCUUGAUGCUUGCUUAAUAACUGUUGUUAUAAGCAAACUCUGCCAUCGGUAGAUACUGCUACCAUCCUCCCUGAAAGUCUAUCACACAUACCCGGAGCAUAUCCUCUAAAAUCUGAAUGGUGCGCUCCGACUGCCCAUCACUCUUAGGGUGGAAGCAGUGCUAAAGUCCAAACGAGUGCCCAGGGUGUCCUGCAAGCUCCUCCAAAAGUGAGACACAAACCGAGUGUCUCGAUCCGAUACAAUCGAUGUAAGCACUCUAUGAAGUCGUACAAUCUCAUCAAGGUACACUUGUGCGAGCUUCUCUCCGGUCCAAUUAGUAUGAACAGGUAUGAAGUGCGCCGACUUCGUCAACCUAUCCACGAUCAUCCAAAUAGCAUCAUGCCCGGCCUGAGAACGGGGCAAUCCAGUCACGAAAUCCAUGGUGAUCUUCUCCCACUUCCACACGGUAAUAGACAAACUCUGAAGCUUUCCCGCGGGUAAUCGGUGCUCAGCUUUCACUUGUUGGCAAGUUAGACAUCGAGCUACAAACUCGCCAACGUCCUUUUUCAUCCCGGGCUACCAAUAGAGCAACUUUAAGUCCUUGUACAUCUUGGUGCCACCCGAAUGUAUAGCAUACGGUGCCCGGUGUGCUUCUUGAAGAAUAUCCUCUCUAAUUUCCGAAUCCACCGGUAUACAAAUCCGUCCACGGAAACGCAUCAAUCCUUGGUCAUCCACAAGGAAAUCGCCGGUGCAACCAUUAACCAUUUUAUCUCGAACUUUUUGUAAUUCUAAAUCGGGAACUUGCUUUUCUUUAAUUCUAUCCAAAAGUGUAGGUUGCACCACCAAGGUCAUCAAUCUCAAAGGCGUAUCUGGAAUCACCACUUCCAACUCCAACCGCUUCAUCUGUUCAAUCAACUACGGUUGAGUAACUACAUGCAUCGCUAAGUUUUCCAUCGAUUUCCUACUUAGCGCAUCCGCCACCACGUUAGCCUUACCCGGGUGGUAAAGGAUCGUCAGAUCAUAAUCCUUGAGCAGCUCCAGCCAUCUACGCUGUCUCAAGUUCAACUCCUUUUGGGUGAACAAGUAUUUCAAGCUCUUGUGAUCCGUGUACACUUCACACCACUCGCCAUAAAGGUAAUAGCGCCAUAACUUCAAUGCGAAGACUACGGCCGCCAACUCCAAAUCGUGCGUAGGGUAAUUCUUUUCAUAUUCCUUCAGUUGGCGACAAGCAUACGCGAUCCGUUAAGAGAUGCAUCAAAACACAGCCCAAUCCGUUAAGAGAUGCAUCACUGUAAACCACAUAUCCUGCUCCAACAACUGGCAGGGUUAGGAGAGGGGCGGUCGUCAGUCGUUGCUUCAGCUCUUGGAAGCUUCUCUCGCACGCAUCAUUCCAGAUGAACUUAACAUCUUUAUGCGUGAGCCUCGUGAGGGGAAUAGAUAGCUUAGCAAACCCCUCGACAAAUCUCCGGUAGUACCCGGCCAAUCCAAGAAAGCUCCGUAUCUCCGUGACACUUGUCGGUCUCGGCCAAUCCUUGAUUGCUUCAAUCUUCUUAGGAUCCACGGCUAUACCAGAUCCCGAUAUCAAAUGUCCAAGAAAAGCUACCUCUCGAAGCCAAAACUCAUACUUUUUCAGCUUGGCAAAGAGCUCCUUUUUUCAAAGUACUUGAAGUACAAGCCUCAAAUGCUCCUCGUGAUCUGCAUCACUUCGGGAAUAAACCAAAAUGUCGUCAAUGAACACCACAACGAACCUGUCUAAAUAAAGCUUAAAAACACGGUUCAUCAGAUCCAUAAAAGCUGCCGGAGCAUUAGUAAGCCCAAAUGGCAUAACUGUGAACUCAUAGUGUCCAUACCAUGUUCUAAAAGCCGUCUUCGAUACAUCCUCGGGUUUGAUCUUUAAUUGGUGGUAUCCCGACUGCAAGUUGAUUUUGGAAUACACACACGAUCCUUGAAGCUGAUCAAACAAGUCAUCGAUCCUCGGCAACGGAUACUUAUUCUUGAUCGUGACUUUAUUGAGUUCACGAUAGUCCACACAUAGGCGAAGUGAUCCGUCCUUCUUCUUGACGAACAGAACGGGCGCUCCCCACGGUGAGACGCUCGGUCAAAUGAAGCCCUUGUCCAACAGAUCCUGUAGCUGUGCCCUCAGCUCCGUUGGUGCCAUCCUAUAGGGUGCCUUCGAGAUUGGAGUAGUCACAAGGACGAGAUCUAUCACAAACUCGAUCUCCUUAUCGGGUGGCAUACCCGAUAGCUCAGCUGGAAACACGUCUUGGAACUCCCGUACCACCAGAAUAUCCUCAAUCCUAAGGGUAUCAUCCUCGCCCCUCAACACAACAUUAGCCAAGUAAGCUACACAUUCUCGGCUUAUCAGCUGCCUAGCUCGAGACGAGCUGAUCGACAUCGCGAAAAGCGAACUCCGGCAUCCUCUAAAUACAACCUCAGUCUGCCCCGGUUCUCUAAAAGUAACCGUGCGAUUCUUACAAUCAAUCGUGGCAUAGUACUUGGUUAGCGAAUCCAUACCCAAGACCACAUCGAAGUCCCCUAGUUUUCACAGAGCUAGCAAAUCCACGGGCAUGAUCCAACCUCCUACCCGAACAGGACAACUAGGGCAAUACUCUCUAAUAUCCAGAGUGUGGUCGGGUACUACAGCAUGUCCCGGAUACAACAAAGAAACCAAAGGGAUGCCAUGCAACUCGGCAAACAGCCGAUCUAUAAAUAAAUGCGAUGCACUGGUAUCAAAUAAAGCACGAACUCUAAUGCCAUUAAGUAAAAUGAUACCUGCAACCACAUCCUUGGCUGCUGCCGCCCCCUCGGUCUGAGCGGCAUACAAACGCCUACUCGGGGCCUGUCGAGAUCCCUCGCUCUGGCGCUGGACGGAUGGCCGCCCGGGCUGGUACUGUGUCGACGGAGUUCCGUGGCUAGCGGCUGGUAGAGCCGGUGCCGAUGCAGUCGACGGUGCCGGUGAAGAACCUCUCGGGCACUCAGUCCGAAAGUGGCCCUUCUGGCCACACUGGAAACACCUCCCUCCCCGCUGCGGGCACUGCGGUGGAAUGUGGGGACGACCACAGAUCACGCACUGGGGAGGUCGGCGUCAGUGAGAACCUCCACGGUGGGUCGCCGAGCCACGCCCACGCUGCUGGCUCCUAGGAUGCUUCGGCGGCCUCCUAAAGUGCGUUUGGCUCGCACCCUCAACCGUAGGCCUCUUGGCCUUACCCUUGUCCAUAGCCUCUCGCAGCUCCUGGACAUCUGCCGCGCCGCUCUCCACGAUGAGCGCGCUAUCCACCACCUCCCGGUAGGUUUGGAGGUUAGAGGAUUGUACAAACCGGAAGAUCGACGGUCGCAAUCCUCACUCAAAGAUGCGGGCCUUGUCCUCGUCGUCCUGCACGACGAAAGACACGCAGUGUAGAAGCCGAAAAAACUCCCGCUCGUACUUGGCUACUGUCCUGUCUCCCUGGCGCAAGUUGCGCAAGUCCUGCUCCAUCUUCCUCUUGACGCUGGUCGAAAAGUAAAGCGCCAACAGAAGCUCCUUGAACUUCUUCCACGAGAUAGCCACCAAAUCAGUGCUGGGGUUCUCCUGGAGAUCCAACCACCAGCGGUAGGCCUCGCUGUCCAAAUGGUGUGUGGCGAGCCAAACUCGAUCUCUUUCCUCCACGAAGGUGUCGCGGAAGAGCUUCUCCAUAUUCAUUAACCACUUCUCCACGAUCCAAUGGUCGACCUUCUCACCAUCAAAGAUCCAGGGACUGCAUCUCCUGAACUCAUUGAGGCGAUCCAUCAGUCAGUUCCGCUCCGCUCCCUCGACCAACACGGGGAAAACAGCUCCAAUCGGGGGCCUCUGCACCGGUGGUGCGGCAAUAGCCUCCUCCUGAGGUGCGGCCGUGGGCGCUGCUCGUGAAGAACUGGGCGCGGGGCACGGCGAUCUCUGCGCGACGUCCACAACUGGUGCUGGCGGUGUAGGGGCCUGAGUCUCCCUGGAAGCUGCCGCCUGCUGCAGAAGAAGGUCCUCCAGGCGCUUCAUCCGCGCCUCCUGCCGGCGCGCCGCCGCAGUCUGCUGUCGGGCCGCAGUCUGCUGUCGGGCCGCCUCCGCCUACUUAGUCACUAGGUCGGUGAGGGCCGCAAGCUGGCUCCUCAACUCCUGGACCUCGCCAGAUCCGGAGGUAGCGGAGGUCUCGACCUCCUCAAGAUGUGCCGCAUUAUCCGCUCCGGCAGAUUGGGACCGAGUGAUCGGCAUGUCACUACAACAUCAUAAAAGCGUAAGUUAGUAACCCACACUAUCGUAUCCCCGCUCAAGCAGAUAAUACCCCAAAUCAUGCGAAAGUAAUGAAGUGUGCUUCACUACUAACUCCCGAUGUUACGUUGUCGGCCGCCAACAUAACCCUCCGCGAAGUUAGGAGCUAUACACUUCAAUUUAACUCUGCUUUCUAGAGUUAUCAAGAUACCGAAUCAAAAUACUAUCGCUUACAAGUCAAAUAGACCUCGUCUCUCACGAGCCUAUUUCCUAUAGUCCAACCGGCCUAAGGUUUGCUAGGUCCACUAAGACUCAACCCUAGGCUCUGAUACCAAACUAAUCUGUCACGCCCCGGGACCUAGCGGAAGCCCGCCCGGCCCGUGUCCAGACCGCCAUAUGUCUGAAACAUAUAAGGCGUUUAAAACAAAACGAUAAAUAAAGCAAAUAGAGGAGAUCGAGAGAUAUCAGAGAACUAUACAAUAUUUAGUAUCUAAAGCAGUGUGAAGAGUAGAGAGCUAAAAUCACUAAAUAAACCAUAAAGUAAAUACAAAAGGAAUCCCAAAUACUAAAGCUAAACAAGUACAUAGGUAGUCUCUCUAUACAAGGUACUCAAAAUCUCUCUCUCACUCUCUAAUACAAUAAAAGAAAGAGUAAACCACUUACGUUCAAUAGUAGCUCCUUUCUAUCUAGCUAGGCGACACCCUUGCCGUGAUUCCGUGCCUCCGCCGGUACCGAAGGCUCUGAAAAGAAAACAUAAAACAGAAGGCAUGAGAACUAUUAAAUAAUAGUUCCUAGUGGGCAAUUACUGACUUCAGUAAAAGCACCACUAGGCCCAAAAGAGCUAAACAGGUAAGUAACAAUAAAAGCAAUAGAAUCGAUAUGUAAGUAAACAUGUAAACUUACUACAACAUGAUAACUCUACUUAGCAUGAAUUUGCAUAAGUAAAUAAAGGCUAUUCUAACAUGAAUGUACAAAAGUGUCACUAGCAUGAUGUCCACAAGCUAAAUAGUAAAAUGUCUUGUUUACUAUUCUAGUCAAUGUCCAGCAGGUAUGCUAGGUCAUCAAUGAUCUAAUCCUGUAGGACCUACCCGUGGGUAGUCCGGCCUGCGUCAUGCCUAAUGGCCCCGUGGUAGUCAACAUCCCCACUCUAGAAAUGAGCCUCCCCUACGGCAUCCCAUUUCGGCGCCCAAUCCCGCACGAGUGAGCAUACGUCGCGAUGGCUAUCUCCGGAGUGCAGGCUUGUAGGGAGCGACCCUCACAAGUAUGUGCGAAUGAGCACAUUGGCAAGCAAGCGAAAGAUCUGUCUCAAUUACCAAGUCCUCAUGUCUAAAAAUAUGGAAUAUACGUCGAAUGUCUCAAAGGCCUAUCUCUAUGUCAUCAUGUCUCUAAUAUAGAACAUAGCAGAUGUUCAAUAGCCUAUCACUAUGUCUCUAUGUUGCAAUUUCAUAGUUUACUAUGUCAAGUGCCUCUUUAUGGCAUUUUGUCAACUAAGUCCAAACAUGAGUUUAUUGUUUACAAAUACAUAAUUUGAGUAAUUUUUAACAUAAAGGAAAUGUUUCCAAGUCGCUAACCCGAACACUCCUCACAUGCAUGCAAAACGCUCCGAAGGCCCUAUCAUAUAGAGUGAAAUUUUCAUGAUACAUAAGGCAUGCAUUUUAAGUAUUCUAAAAUUUACAUAAAUCUCAUUUAACAUGAAUAUGCAAUCAAAUUGAUGUUACGACAAGUAUAGAAUACUUAGGGGCCAUUUCGCCCCGAUUUCAUGCAGUCAAACCCACCGAAGUUAUCGAAACCCUUCGUAAGCUCCGACGAAGGUGUCCAAUAGUCUCCUAGCAAUCUAAAGAUGUAGGAAUAAGAGUCAAACAAACCUUACUAUCAACCCUAAGCUCAAUCAAUAAGCAACAUAGGCUAAGGUGGAGAAAAACUCACCUAGGUGAAGAAAUCCUCUCUCAAGCUCCAAAUGGGAGUUAGAGUUCUUCAAAUCCAACCUAAAUAAAAGUUCUAAACCCAUCAAUUAGGUUUCAAAGCCUUCAAAUCAAAAAUUCCCAAAAUAAACCCUAAAUUCCAAAAUCUAAGGUUUCAUCUAGUAAAAUCUAGAAAAACUUGUAUUAAAUGGGAAAUACAAGCUACCAACCUCAAGAGAAGCUCCAAUCUAAGCUCUAAACCAAGUAGGGUUGGAGUUUGAUCCUCCACAAGGCUCCAACCGCAAGCUCCAAGCCACCAAAGGUGAGAAAUGAGGGGAAGAAGAUGAUGUUCCAAGGCCUC
RNAcentral lists this long non-coding RNA (7991 nucleotides) under Ananas comosus (pineapple). RNAcentral's name for it is "long non-coding RNA (ACOM_LNC012241)". Lineage: Eukaryota; Viridiplantae; Streptophyta; Magnoliopsida; Poales; Bromeliaceae. The record is from RNAcentral.